Molecule: long non-coding RNA, 709 nt
Filed under: Salvia miltiorrhiza (redroot sage)
Lineage: Eukaryota; Viridiplantae; Streptophyta; Magnoliopsida; Lamiales; Lamiaceae
Description: long non-coding RNA (SMIL_LNC013269)
Source: RNAcentral
AGCUGCCAAAUAGCAUUAAGAAGGGAUACACCCCAAUCAUCGACAAACGCAAGCCAUGGUUUAUAGGAAAAUCAUCAAUAAACGCAAAGCGAGCUGCCAAAUAGCAUUGAGCAUAGAUAUAUCAUUUGAUUUGUCCAUCCUCAAAAAACAGAAAUAAGUAAAGCUCCAUGGUAAUAGUAAAAUUCACCACAUUCCACUAUCCAAAGCCGCACAUAUCCAUAUAAAUGAAAUGUACACAAUGAGAUGCAUUCACCAUCGCAUAUUCAUAUAAAUGAACUGAACACAAUGAGAUACAUUCACCAUCACACGCAAACAAAGAAGAAAAGGAAAGUGAAGAAAGCAAAUCUUACACACUCGACCCAUUGACGAGAAUCAUCAGUCCACUCCAAAGCAGGGUCAUUUUAGUCCUGGUUUAGUUUUGUGGGGACAAUCGGGUUCUGUAUUUUCGAGCUUGGGAGCGAAGAACGGCGGAGCUUCGGCGAUUUCAGCCGUCGGCGGCGGAGUUGGCCGGCUCACAGCGGGUGGAAGACACAGGGCUGAAGGCGCGAUGGAAGUCAAGCGGCGGUCGACAGCCCACAGUGCCCCGUCGGCGUGAUGGGUGAUGGCGGCGAGAUUGGGAUGGAGGAGAAGAAGGCAGCCGAUUUUUGGUGAAGAAGAAGAGCCGAGGGAUUUUUUUCUAAUUCAAGUGAUAUUAGGGCUUUUUUGUGUG